Molecule: ribosomal RNA, 440 nt
Filed under: uncultured bacterium
Lineage: Bacteria
Description: partial 16S ribosomal RNA
Rfam family: Bacterial small subunit ribosomal RNA
Source: RNAcentral
CCUACGGGAGACUGCAGUGGGGAAUAUUGCACAAUGGGGGAAACCCUGAUGCAGCGACGCCGCGUGAGGGAAGAAGUAUCUCGGUACGUAAAGCUCUAUCAGCAGGGAAGAAAAUGACGGUACCUGACUAAGAAGCCCCGGAUAACUACGUGCCAGCAGCCGCGGUAAUACGUAGGGGGCAAGCGUUAUCCGGAUUUACUGGGUGUAAAGGGAGCGUAGACGGCAGCACAAGCCUGGAGUGAAAUCCCGGGGCUUAACCCCGGAACUGCUUUGGAAACUGUGCGGCGGGAGUGGAGGAGGGGUAAGCGGAAUUCCUAGUGUAGCGGUGAAAUGCGUAGAUAUUAGGAGGAACACCGGUGGCGAAGGCGGCUUACUGGACUGUAACUGACGUUGAGGCUCGAAAGCGUGGGGAGCAAACAGGAUUAGAUACCCGAGUAGUC